This is an RNA transcript of Musa acuminata AAA Group (dessert banana), 1024 nucleotides long. It is a transcript of the gene named ubiquitin-conjugating enzyme E2 7-like, with no coding region annotated. The record is from RefSeq and is a predicted model, not a curated record. Lineage: Eukaryota; Viridiplantae; Streptophyta; Magnoliopsida; Zingiberales; Musaceae. The transcript is spliced from 6 exons.
UAAAUAUAUGCUCGGGUCGGUUUACGAACACCGGUCGCCUCUCCUCCUCUCCUCUCUCUCAAGUCUCAACCUCAGUCAAAGGGCCGAACCAGAGUCCAUCUCUCUCGUUCAUGGCGGCGACGACCCAGGCAAGCCUUCUGCUUCAAAAGCAGCUCCGUGAUCUCAUGAAGAACCCGGUGGACGGGUUCUCUGCUGGCCUGGUUGAUGACAGCAACGUCUUCGAGUGGAACGUCACGAUUAUUGGGCCGCCGGAUACGCUUUAUGAUGGUGGCUAUUUCAAUGCCAUUAUGAGUUUUCCUUCCAACUACCCAAACAGCCCUCCUUCAGUUAGAUUUACAUCAGAGAUGUGGCAUCCAAAUGUCUACUCUGACGGGCGUGUUUGCAUAUCUAUCCUUCAUCCCCCUGGUGAUGAUCCAAAUGGUUACGAGCUUGCAAGUGAACGUUGGACACCUGUGCACACGGAAAUUGGUGUACUCAGCUAUAAAAAAUGACCGAUAGCAGUGAGAUGGAUUCCCUGGUAGUUCCUGAAUUAUCUCCAGAUAUGGUACUCGGCUAUAUUAGUCAAAUUCUUAUGGAAGAGGACAUGGAUGACAAAUUCGAUGUGCUUCAUCGGCUUCGUCACCACGCUCCUCGUCUUCGACAAGCUCUACCGCCACCGGGCCGGCGGGGCUUGAUCCGACACUUCCGCCGCCUCCCGAUCCAUGGGCAUUCACAGCUGUGACUCGAGCCAACAUCUUUGUAUACUUUCCUUCCAAGUAUAAUUUUGUUUGAAGUGUACUCCUCUGCUUGAACCAGUCUUCACAGGCAACCACAACAAUGAAGAAAUGUAAAGGUUAUCAAGGUUCGUCUCCUGCAGAAGUUUACUUGUGCCAAUUAAACCUUGCAUUUACAUCUCAAUACAAGUUUCAUUGUUGGUUGUGGUUCAUGCUGGUCUAUAAGACUUUUCCUUUUUCAUUCCAAUAUGAUAUGGUCAAUUUGCAACUUGUAUUACACAUCUAAAAGAAGACAGUUUGGUCAACCAGUA